GGUGUUGAUCAGUGUAUCCAGAAAUUUCUGGAUGUUGCAAGACAAACUGAAUGCUUUUUUCUACAAAAAAGACUGCAGUUAUCAGUCCAGAAACCAGAGCAAGUAAUUAAAGAGGAUGUUUCAGAAUUAAGAAAUGAAUUGCAGAGAAAAGAAGCAUUAAUUCAGAAGCAUUUGGGUAAACUGCGACACUGGCAACAGGUCCUGGAAGAUACCAGUGUACAGCACAAAAAGCCUGCAGAAUUGCCUCAAGGUCCAUUCGCUUACCUAGAACAAGCAUCUGCUAAUAUUCCUGCUCCAAUGAAGCAAACAUGAUCUUUGAUUUUAUGUAUCUGAGUAGUUUCAACAAUGCAAAGCAGUCAUGUUCUUUUUACUUUGUAUACCUUUUGUAUAAUGUAAUUUGUGCUAUAAAUAUAAAUAGUUAAGACAAUUAAG
Tauraco erythrolophus (red-crested turaco) is the source of this 432-nucleotide non-coding RNA. NCBI's taxonomy places the organism in Eukaryota, Metazoa, Chordata, Aves, Musophagiformes, Musophagidae. The record is from RefSeq and is a predicted model, not a curated record.